Molecule: ribosomal RNA, 234 nt
Filed under: uncultured bacterium
Lineage: Bacteria
Description: partial 16S ribosomal RNA
Rfam family: Bacterial small subunit ribosomal RNA
Source: RNAcentral
GAUCAUAGCUCAGGACGAACGCUGGCGGCGCGCCUAACACAUGCAAGUCGAACGAGAGAUGAGGAGCUUGCUCUUCAAAUCGAGUGGCGAACGGGUGAGUAACGCGUGAGGAACCUGCCUCAAAGAGGGGGACAACAGUUGGAAACGACUGCUAAUACCGCAUAAGCCCACGGCUCGGCAUCGAGCAGAGGGAAAAGGAGCGAUCCGCUUUGAGAUGGCCUCGCGUCCGAUUAG